UGGGGAAUAUUGCACAAUGGGCGAAAGCCUGAUGCAGCAACGCCGCGUGAGUGAUGAAGGCCUUCGGGUUGUAAAGCUCUGUCUUUUGGGACGAUAAUGACGGUACCAAAGGAGGAAGCCACGGCUAACUACGUGCCAGCAGCCGCGGUAAUACGUAGGUGGCAAGCGUUGUCCGGAUUUACUGGGCGUAAAGGAUGCGUAGGCGGAUUUUUAAGUGAGAUGUGAAAUACCCGGGCUUAACUUGGGUGCUGCAUUUCAAACUGGGAAUCUAGGUGCGGGAGAGGAGAAUGGAAUUCCUAGUGUAGCGGUGAAAUGCGUAGAGAUUAGGAAGAACACCAGUGGCGAAGGCGAUUCUCUGGACCGUAACUGACGCUGAGGCAUGAAAGCGUGGGUAGCAAACAGGAUUAGAUACCCUGGUAGUCCACGCCGUAAACGAUGAGUACUAGGUGUAGGAGGUAUCGACCCCUUCUGUGCCGCAGUUAACACAAUAAGUACUCCGCCUGGGAAGUACGAUCGCAAGAUUAAAACUCAAAGAAUUGACGGGGUCAUAGCUGUUUUCCU
Molecule: ribosomal RNA, 561 nt
Filed under: uncultured bacterium
Lineage: Bacteria
Description: partial 16S ribosomal RNA
Rfam family: Bacterial small subunit ribosomal RNA
Source: RNAcentral